GACCUCUUUAUCAAAAUAUUCCCGGUCCUGGUGUAUUAAAUAUCAUUCAACAUCCUGGUAGAUAGAUAAAAGUAAAAUGUCUGCCAUGGGUAGAUUGAUGUAUUUUGUUGUCUUACUGGGUUUACAAUUUUAUAAUAUACAAGGUCAAACAUACAGUUUAUCAGGAUCAGCAUCAUAUGGUAUUAGAGGAAAUGAUUACAGAUUUACUUGUCAGUUAUCUGGAUAUAUAUCUCCAGGGGCACAGUUCAAAAAGGACGGUAGAGAUAUAUGUACAGGAUUAUUAACCACGUGUCAAUCAUUAUCAACGGAUACAAGAUAUACAUGUGGUUGCAUCAAUGGUAACCGCAGAUCACUGUAUCUUAAUAUAACCAAUGUGCAAUCAACUGAUGCUGGAGAAUGGACCUGUACAGACCUGGAUUUUCGUCGAGUCACUAGUCCACCAGUAACUCUUCUUGUUUAUUAUGGACCAGAGAAUAUCAGAUUUACACCAACCAAUUCUAGUAUAACAGUGAUAGAAAAUGAAAGUAGAUCUGUAACCUGUUCAGCUGACUGUAAUCCACCGUGUAAUAUAAACUGGUAUAAAGGAUUUAAUGCUAGUGGUACCAUAAUAUCAUCUACUGGACUUCUCUCACUGAACACCAUCGACAGGCAUAAAGCUGGUUAUUACACCUGUCAGGUUACGAAUACACAGAUACACCAUGAUUCACUACACUCUAAGAAACUAGUGGUUAUAAUACAUUAUGAAACCACUGACGAUGUCAAGAAGAGAUGGCUACUUGAAGACAUAGAGCGGAUUCGAUUGGAACGACAGAAACUGAAUCUACAAAUAUCGUGUUUGACAAGUAAUCCAACAAAUUGUAACUGUGAUUGUAAUUAGUCACAUAAAUAUACUUCUCGAAUUAUUAUCCACGACUAAUUAUUGUACGAUAUUCACAUAUUUGAAUUCGUCUCACAAUCUUGUAACGAAAUGUUUGUCGUAAAUGUUUUCAGUAUUUACCGAGUAAAUCUUUUACAAGAGAUGAA
Patella vulgata (common limpet) is the source of this 1023-nucleotide long non-coding RNA. RefSeq lists it as uncharacterized. The transcript has 4 exons. The record is from RefSeq and is a predicted model, not a curated record. Lineage: Eukaryota; Metazoa; Mollusca; Gastropoda; Patellidae.